UACGGGGGGAGCAAGCGUUGUUCGGAUUUACUGGGCGUAAAGGGCGCGUAGGCGGCCACCGCAAGUCAAUUGUGAAAUCUCCGGGCUUAACUCGGAAAGGUCAACUGAUACUGCGGGGCUAGAGUGCGGAAGGGGCAACUGGAAUUCUCGGUGUAGCGGUGAAAUGCGUAGAUAUCGAGAGGAACACCUGAGGUGAAGACGGGUUGCUGGGCCGACACUGACGCUGACAGCGCGAAAGCCAGGGGAGCAAACGGG
Molecule: ribosomal RNA, 255 nt
Filed under: uncultured bacterium
Lineage: Bacteria
Description: partial 16S ribosomal RNA
Rfam family: Bacterial small subunit ribosomal RNA
Source: RNAcentral